AAUUCGAUUGAGUUUGAUCCUGGCUCAGGACGAACGCUGGCGGCGUGCUUAACACAUGCAAGUCGAGCGACGCACUCUUUCGGGGGUGACGGAGCGGCGAACGGGUGAGUAACACGUGGGCAACCUGCCCUCAGCUCUGGGACAACUCCGGGAAACCGGGGCUAAUACCGGAUACGACAUCGGAUCGCAUGGUCUGGUGUGGAAAGUUUUUCGGCUGGGGAUGGGCCCGCGGCCUAUCAGCUUGUUGGUGGGGUGAAGGCCUACCAAGGCGACGACGGGUAGCCGGCCUGAGAGGGCGACCGGCCACACUGGGACUGAGACACGGCCCAGACUCCUACGGGAGGCAGCAGUGGGGAAUAUUGCGCAAUGGGCGAAAGCCUGACGCAGCGACGCCGCGUGGGGGAUGAAGGCCUUCGGGUUGUAAACCCCUUUCAGCAGGGACGAAUUCAGACGGUACCUGCAGAAGAAGCACCGGCCAACUACGUGCCAGCAGCCGCGGUAAUACGUAGGGUGCAAGCGUUGUCCGGAAUUAUUGGGGCGUAAAGAGCUCGUAGGCGGUUUGUCGCGUCGGCUGUGAAAACUUGNGGCUCAACCCCAAGCCUGCAGUCGAUACGGGCAGACUAGAGUGCGGUAGGGGAGACUGGAAUUCCUGGUGUAGCGGUGAAAUGCGCAGAUAUCAGGAGGA
This 685-nucleotide ribosomal RNA is filed under the name uncultured bacterium. Its description in RNAcentral is "bacterial SSU rRNA". It matches the Rfam family "Bacterial small subunit ribosomal RNA", at positions 1 to 705 of the family's 1533-position model. The record is from RNAcentral.